This 340-nucleotide ribosomal RNA is filed under the name uncultured Flavobacteriaceae bacterium. Its description in RNAcentral is "bacterial LSU rRNA". It matches the Rfam family "Bacterial large subunit ribosomal RNA", at positions 1 to 356 of the family's 2925-position model. The record is from RNAcentral. Lineage: Bacteria; Pseudomonadati; Bacteroidota; Flavobacteriia; Flavobacteriales; Flavobacteriaceae.
AAUAGGCUAAUUAAGAGCGUAAGGGGAAUGCCUUGGCUCUCAGAGGCGAUGAAGGACGUGAUAAGCUGCGAUAAGCUGUGGGGAGUGGCACAAACACUUCGAUCCGCAGAUUUCCGAAUGGGGUAACCCGGCAUAUUGAAGAUAUGUCACACUGUAAAGUGAGCGAACCUGGUGAACUGAAACAUCAAAGUAACCAGAGGAAUAGAAAACAAAAGUGAUUCCGCUAGUAGUGGCGAGCGAACGUGGAACAGCCUAAACCUAUGUUGUUAAGGCAAUAUAGGGGUUGUAGGACCUCAACAUUUAAUGCUAAUAGAACUAGAAUUUACUGGAAAGUAAAACC